GGCGGGUGUAGCUCAAUGGUAGAGUAACAGCCUUCCAAGCUGAUGAUGAGGGUUCGAUUCCCUUCACCCUGCUCCA
This 76-nucleotide transfer RNA is filed under the name Candidatus Dadabacteria bacterium. RNAcentral's name for it is "tRNA-Gly". The stretch from base 4 to 69 matches the Rfam family "tRNA". From Rfam's summary of the family: Transfer RNA (tRNA) molecules are approximately 80 nucleotides in length. The record is from RNAcentral. Lineage: Bacteria; Pseudomonadati; Thermodesulfobacteriota; Candidatus Dadabacteria.